This 497-nucleotide ribosomal RNA is filed under the name uncultured bacterium. RNAcentral describes it as "partial 16S ribosomal RNA". It matches the Rfam family "Bacterial small subunit ribosomal RNA", at positions 30 to 523 of the family's 1533-position model. The record is from RNAcentral.
AUUGAACGCUGGCGGCAUGCCUUACACAUGCAAGUCGAACGGUAACAGGUCUUCGGAUGCUGACGAGUGGCGAACGGGUGAGUAAUACAUCGGAACGUGCCUAGUAGUGGGGGAUAGCUACUCGAAAGAGUGGCUAAUACCGCAUGAGAUCUACGGAUGAAAGCAGGGGAUCGCAAGACCUGGUGCUACUAGAGCGGCCGAUGGCAGAUUAGGUAGUUGGUGGGAUAAAAGCUUACCAAGCCGACGAUCUGUAGCUGGUCUGAGAGGACGAUCAGCCACACUGGGACUGAGACACGGCCCAGACUCCUACGGGAGGCAGCAGUGGGGAAUUUUGGACAAUGGGCGAAAGCCUGAUCCAGCAAUGCCGCGUGCAGGAUGAAGGCCUUCGGGUUGCAAACUGCUUUUGUACGGAACGAAAAGCCCCGGGUUAAUACCCUGGGGUCAUGACGGUACCGUAAGAAUAAGCACCGGCUAACUACGUGCAGCCGCCGCCGUAA